Molecule: ribosomal RNA, 431 nt
Filed under: uncultured bacterium
Lineage: Bacteria
Description: partial 16S ribosomal RNA
Rfam family: Bacterial small subunit ribosomal RNA
Source: RNAcentral
AACGAACGCUGGCGGCAGGCCUAACACAUGCAAGUCGAGCGCGCCUUCGGGUGAGCGGCGGACGGGUGAGUAACGCGUGGGAAUAUGCCCUUCUCUACGGAAUAGUCCUGGGAAACUGGGGGUAAUACCGUAUACGCCCUUUGGGGGAAAGAUUUAUCGGGGAAGGAUUAGCCCGCGUUGGAUUAGGUAGUUGGUGGGGUAAUGGCCUACCAAGCCGACGAUCCAUAGCUGGUUUGAGAGGAUGAUCAGCCACACUGGGACUGAGACACGGCCCAGACUCCUACGGGAGGCAGCAGAGGGGAUUCUUAGACAAUGGGGGCAACCCUGAUCUAGCCAUGCCGCGUGAGUGAUGAAGGCCUUAGGGUUGUAAAGCUCUUUCAGCUGGGAAGAUAAUGACGGUACCAGCAGAAGAAGCCCCGGCUAACUCCGUG